RNAcentral lists this ribosomal RNA (407 nucleotides) under Clostridioides difficile. RNAcentral describes it as "bacterial LSU rRNA". It matches the Rfam family "Bacterial large subunit ribosomal RNA", at positions 2515 to 2925 of the family's 2925-position model. The record is from RNAcentral. Lineage: Bacteria; Bacillati; Bacillota; Clostridia; Peptostreptococcales; Peptostreptococcaceae.
GGUUUGGCACCUCGAUGUCGGCUCAUCACAUCCUGGGGCUGUAGUAGGUCCCAAGGGUUGGGCUGUUCGCCCAUUAAAGUGGUACGCGAGCUGGGUUCAGAACGUCGUGAGACAGUUCGGUCCCUAUCCGUCGCAGGCGUAGGAAAUUUGAGAAGACCUGUCCUUAGUACGAGAGGACCGGGAUGGACGUACCUCUGGUGUACCAGUUGUCCUGCCAAGGGCAUGGCUGGGUAGCUAUGUACGGAAUGGAUAAGCGCUGAAAGCAUCUAAGCGCGAAGCCAACUUCAAGAUAAGAUUUCCCACCGUAAGGGUAAGACCCCAGAAAGACUAUCUGGUUGAUAGGUCGAAGGUGUAAGUGCAGCAAUGUAUUUAGCUUAUCGAUACUAAUAGGUCGAGGACUUGACCAA